Molecule: ribosomal RNA, 442 nt
Filed under: uncultured bacterium
Lineage: Bacteria
Description: partial 16S ribosomal RNA
Rfam family: Bacterial small subunit ribosomal RNA
Source: RNAcentral
CCUACGGGAGGCAGCAGUGGGGAAUAUUGGGCAAUGGGCGCAAGCCUGACCCAGCAACGCCGCGUGAAGGAAGAAGGCCCUCGGGUUGUAAACUUCUUUUGUUAGGGAAGAGUAGCAGGCCGUGUCUGCCGAAUUAGCCACGGCUAACUACGUGUCCGCAGCCGCCGUAAUACGUAGGUGGCAAGCGUUGUUCGGAUUUAGUGGGUGGAAAGGGCGUGUAGACAGGUUGGCAAGUCAGGUGUGAAAUCCUGGGGCUCAACCGCAGACCUGCAUUUGAAACUGUAGGUCUUGAGUACGGGAGAGGCAGACGGAAUUCCGGGUGUAGCGGUGAAAUGCGUAGAUAUAAGGAGGAACACCAGUGGCGAAGGCGGAUUGCUGGACAGUAACUGACGCUGAGGCGCGAAAGCGUGGGGAGCAAACAGGAUUAGAUACCCUAGUAGUC